GUGAGGAAUCUUGCGCAAUGGGGGAAACCCUGACGCAGCAACGCCGCGUGAGUGAGGAAGGCCUUCGGGUCGUAAAGCUCUGUCAGGUGGGAAGAAAUCGAUGAAGGUGAACAACCUCCAUCAUUGACGGUACCACCAGAGGAAGCACCGGCCAACUCCGUGCCAGCAGCCGCGGUAAUACGGGGGGUGCAAGCGUUGUUCGGAAUCAUUGGGCGUAAAGAGCGUGUAGGCGGCCAGGUAAGUCAGAUGUGAAAGCCCUGGGCUUAACCCAGGAAGUGCAUUUGAAACUGCUUGGCUAGAGUAAGGGAGAGGAAAGUGGAAUUCCUGGUGUAGAGGUGAAAUUCGUAGAUAUCAGGAGGAACACCGGUGGCGAAGGCGACUUUCUGGCCCUAUACUGACGCUCAGGCGCGAAAGCGUGGGGAGCAAACAGGAUUAGAAACCCUGGUAGUCC
Molecule: ribosomal RNA, 451 nt
Filed under: uncultured bacterium
Lineage: Bacteria
Description: bacterial SSU rRNA
Rfam family: Bacterial small subunit ribosomal RNA
Source: RNAcentral